This 1254-nucleotide ribosomal RNA is filed under the name Enterobacter asburiae. RNAcentral's name for it is "bacterial SSU rRNA". It matches the Rfam family "Bacterial small subunit ribosomal RNA", at positions 31 to 1272 of the family's 1533-position model. The record is from RNAcentral. Lineage: Bacteria; Pseudomonadati; Pseudomonadota; Gammaproteobacteria; Enterobacterales; Enterobacteriaceae.
GAAUUGGCGGGCGGGCUAACACAUGCAAGUCGAGCGGCAGCGGAAGUAGCUUGCUACUUUGCCGGCGAGCGGCGGACGGGUGAGUAAUGUCUGGGAAACUGCCUGAUGGAGGGGGAUAACUACUGGAAACGGUAGCUAAUACCGCAUAACGUCGCAAGACCAAAGAGGGGGACCUUCGGGCCUCUUGCCAUCAGAUGUGCCCAGAUGGGAUUAGCUAGUAGGUGGGGUAACGGCUCACCUAGGCGACGAUCCCUAGCUGGUCUGAGAGGAUGACCAGCCACACUGGAACUGAGACACGGUCCAGACUCCUACGGGAGGCAGCAGUGGGGAAUAUUGCACAAUGGGCGCAAGCCUGAUGCAGCCAUGCCGCGUGUAUGAAGAAGGCCUUCGGGUUGUAAAGUACUUUCAGCGGGGAGGAAGGCGUUGAGGUUAAUAACCUCAGCGAUUGACGUUACCCGCAGAAGAAGCACCGGCUAACUCCGUGCCAGCAGCCGCGGUAAUACGGAGGGUGCAAGCGUUAAUCGGAAUUACUGGGCGUAAAGCGCACGCAGGCGGUCUGUCAAGUCGGAUGUGAAAUCCCCGGGCUCAACCUGGGAACUGCAUUCGAAACUGGCAGGCUAGAGUCUUGUAGAGGGGGGUAGAAUUCCAGGUGUAGCGGUGAAAUGCGUAGAGAUCUGGAGGAAUACCGGUGGCGAAGGCGGCCCCCUGGACAAAGACUGACGCUCAGGUGCGAAAGCGUGGGGAGCAAACAGGAUUAGAUACCCUGGUAGUCCACGCCGUAAACGAUGUCGACUUGGAGGUUGUGCCCUUGAGGCGUGGCUUCCGGAGCUAACGCGUUAAGUCGACCGCCUGGGGAGUACGGCCGCAAGGUUAAAACUCAAAUGAAUUGACGGGGGGCCCGCACAAGCGGUGGAGCAUGUGGUUUAAUUCGAUGCAACGCGAAGAACCUUACCUACUCUUGACAUCCAGAGAACUUAGCAGAGAUGCUUUGGGUGCCUUUCGGGAACUCUGAGACAGGUGCUGCAUGGCCUGUCGUCAGCUCGUGUUGUGAAAUGUUGGGUUAAGUCCCGCAACGAGCGCAACCCUUAUCCUUUGUUGCCAGCGUUAGGCCGGACUCAAAGGAAGACUGCCAGUGAUAAACUGGAGGAGGUUGGGAUGGACGUCCAGGUCAUUCAUGGCCUUACCGAGUUAGGCUUACCACGUUCUACAUGCGCAAUACAGGGAUAGGCGGACCCUCUCGCGGGAGGAGCAAAA